AUGGCGGCUUCUUCCUCCUCCAAUCCACAGGCUGUUAACAACGAGCUUCUCCCCCUGACGUGCCCUAAUUGCGGUCGUGAAGUGCUGAGUGACAUAUAUCCACGGUUGAAAAAAGAUCCGGCAACCGAUAUUACAAGUGCAUCCUAUGAGCAUAAGAUCUCUGAAGCUAACCCUCGAUGUGAUUUGCCCGUCUUUUGGCUCACCUUUGCUUAUUUUUUUCGUUUUUUUUCUACCCAUUUUUUGUGCAACCUAGAUAGUACCACUUCCUUGCAUGACAGGACGUCCCUACCCUGCCGUGCUCGACGCUGUCAGAGAUCGCGGCCGGUUUGA
RNAcentral lists this ribosomal RNA (330 nucleotides) under Triticum aestivum (bread wheat). Its description in RNAcentral is "partial small subunit ribosomal RNA". The record is from RNAcentral. Lineage: Eukaryota; Viridiplantae; Streptophyta; Magnoliopsida; Poales; Poaceae.